AUAUGUUGCCAUUGAACACAUGGAAGCAACCUAUGCUCAAUCUGCCUUUGUGAAUGGAAAGAAUGGUGGGCUCAUGUGCUAUGCUGAUGGCGACAUGGAUCGCCCUGUUGCUUUAGUACAGGUAUAGAUAGAGAU
Molecule: non-coding RNA, 135 nt
Filed under: Pteridomonas danica
Lineage: Eukaryota; Dictyochophyceae; Pedinellales
Source: RNAcentral